This 301-nucleotide ribosomal RNA is filed under the name uncultured bacterium. Its description in RNAcentral is "partial 16S ribosomal RNA". It matches the Rfam family "Bacterial small subunit ribosomal RNA", at positions 509 to 809 of the family's 1533-position model. The record is from RNAcentral.
CAGCAGCCGCGGGAAUACCGAGGGUGCGAGCGUUAAUCGGAUUUACUGGGCGUAAAGCGUGCGUAGGCGGCUUUUUAAGUCGGAUGUGAAAUCCCUGAGCUUAACUUAGGAAUUGCAUUCGAUACUGGGAAGCUAGAGUAUGGGAGAGGAUGGUAGAAUUCCAGGUGUAGCGGUGAAAUGCGUAGAGAUCUGGAGGAAUACCGAUGGCGAAGGCAGCCAUCUGGCCUAAUACUGACGCUGAGGUACGAAAGCAUGGGGAGCAAACAGGAUUAGAUACCCGGGUAGUCCCUGUCUCUUAUAA